UUGCCACAAAGCACCUAAAUCUCCAUAUUUGAAGAUUCAAUAAAGCUCGUUCAAGAGGAACAAAUGCAGGCACAAAUGCAAUUUUUGAGGAAAGAGAUAUUACCUGCCUUAAAGAUACCAUCAGCAUCAUCAGUCAAAAAACUUGGGAAGAAUCAAGAAUGAAAAUGUUGAAUUCUAUUUUUUUUUAUUUACAUUAGCAUUGUUAACUCACUUGAAGAGUUUUAUUAUAUUAGUUGGUAUUGAGUAUUUUUAUUAUGUUAGUUGGUACUGAA
This is a long non-coding RNA of Cajanus cajan (pigeon pea), 272 nucleotides long. RefSeq lists it as uncharacterized. Lineage: Eukaryota; Viridiplantae; Streptophyta; Magnoliopsida; Fabales; Fabaceae. The record is from RefSeq and is a predicted model, not a curated record.